Molecule: ribosomal RNA, 253 nt
Filed under: uncultured bacterium
Lineage: Bacteria
Description: partial 16S ribosomal RNA
Rfam family: Bacterial small subunit ribosomal RNA
Source: RNAcentral
UACGUAGGGUGCGAGCGUUGUCCGGAAUUAUUGGGCGUAAAGAGCUUGUAGGCGGUCUGUCGCGUCUGCUGUGAAAAUCCGGGGCUCAACCCCGGACUUGCAGUGGGUACGGGCAGACUAGAGUGUGGUAGGGGAGACUGGAAUUCCUGGUGUAGCGGUGAAAUGCGCAGAUAUCAGGAGGAACACCGAUGGCGAAGGCAGGUCCCUGGGCCAUAACUGACGCUGAGAAGCGAAAGCAUGGGGAGCGAACAGG